AUGAUCCCUAUAGGGCGCGGUCAGCGAGAGUUAAUUAUUGGGGACAGACAGACUGGCAAAACAGCAGUAGCCACAGCUACAAUUCUCAAUCAAAAAGGGGAAGGUGUAAUAUGUGUUUAUGUAGCUAUCGGUCAAAGAGCAUCCUCCGUAGCUCAAGUAGUAACUACUUUCCAUGAGGAGGGGGCCAUGGAAUACACUAUUGUAGUAGCUGAGAUGGCGGAUUCACCUGCUACAUUACAAUACCUCGCGCCUUAUACGGGAGCAGCCCUGGCUGAGUAUUUUAUGUACCGCGAAUGGCAUACUUUAAUAAUUUAUGAUGAUCUCUCCAAACAGGCACAAGCUUAUCGCCAAAUGUCCCUUCUAUUAAGAAGACCUCCCGGCCGUGAGGCUUAUCCAGGGGAUGUUUUUUAUUUGCAUUCACGCCUUUUAGAAAGAGCCGCUAAAUUAAAUUCUCUUUUAGGCAAAGGAAGUAUGACCGCUUUACCAAUAGUUGAGACUCAAUCUGGAGACGUUUCCGCCUAUAUUCCUACUAAUGUAAUCUCCAUUACAGAUGGACAAAUAUUCUUAUCUGCGGAUCUAUUCAAUGCCGGAAUUCGACCCGCUAUUAAUGUGGGUAUUUCUGUUUCCAGAGUAGGAUCCGCGGCUCAAAUUAAAGCCAUGAAACAAGUAGCUGGCAAAUCAAAAUUGGAACUAGCUCAAUUCGCAGAGUUACAAGCCUUUGCACAAUUCGCCUCUGCUCUCGAUAAAACAAGUCAGAAUCAAUUGGCAAGGGGUCGAUGA
RNAcentral lists this ribosomal RNA (780 nucleotides) under Triticum aestivum (bread wheat). Its description in RNAcentral is "partial small subunit ribosomal RNA". Lineage: Eukaryota; Viridiplantae; Streptophyta; Magnoliopsida; Poales; Poaceae. The record is from RNAcentral.